UGAUGUCAAGACUACCGAUGGUUACU
RNAcentral lists this non-coding RNA (26 nucleotides) under Homo sapiens (human). The record is from RNAcentral. RNAcentral also lists the same sequence under 1 other name. Lineage: Eukaryota; Metazoa; Chordata; Mammalia; Primates; Hominidae.